RNAcentral lists this long non-coding RNA (359 nucleotides) under Hordeum vulgare. RNAcentral's name for it is "long non-coding RNA (HVUL_LNC018873)". Lineage: Eukaryota; Viridiplantae; Streptophyta; Magnoliopsida; Poales; Poaceae. The record is from RNAcentral.
UUCAAAGAGGUUUGUUGCGUUCUUGACAAAUUUUGGAGUCACACGUCAAAAUUAUUUAGGUUUGAAUGGAAUUAAUUGGUAUAGUUUGUCCCUUUGACCCACAACGAGAAGCGUUGAUAGUGAUGGACUCCUCUUGUUUAUGUUACAAUUGAUCAUGGUGGUAUGCAUGCUAGACCAAAGUUUAAGCACAUGCAUUGGAUUUCCUCCCACCGGCUCUAAGUGGGGGAACCGACACCCUAUGCCUUAAAUCUGUCUUCUUAGGGGUUGUUUGGUUUGUGAGGCGGCUUGCUAGUGAUAUGUCAAAGUUCUGCAUUGGGUAUAUGAACACAUCACGUCACCCAUGCUUACAUAUAUUUGGG